RNAcentral lists this ribosomal RNA (1245 nucleotides) under Lysinibacillus sp. M_47. RNAcentral describes it as "bacterial SSU rRNA". It matches the Rfam family "Bacterial small subunit ribosomal RNA", at positions 107 to 1336 of the family's 1533-position model. The record is from RNAcentral. Lineage: Bacteria; Bacillati; Bacillota; Bacilli; Caryophanales; Bacillaceae.
GGAGUAACACGUGGGCAACCUACCUUAUAGUUUGGGAUAACUCCGGGAAACCGGGGCUAAUACCAAAUAAUCUCUUUUACUUCAUGGUGAAAGACUGAAAGACGGCAUCUCGCUGUCGCUAUAGGAUGGGCCCGCGGCGCAUUAGCUAGUUGGUGAGGUAACGGCUCACCAAGGCAACGAUGCGUACCCAACCUGAGAGGGUGAUCGGCCACACUGGGACUGAAACACGGCCCAAACUCCUACGGGAGGCAGCAGUAGGGAAUCUUCCACAAUGGGCGAAAGCCUGAUGGAGCAACGCCGCGUGAGUGAAGAAGGAUUUCGGUUCGUAAAACUCUGUUGUAAGGGAAGAACAAGUACAGUAGUAACUGGCUGUACCUUGACGGUACCUUAUUAGAAAGCCACGGCUAACUACGUGCCAGCAGCCGCGGUAAUACGUAGGUGGCAAGCGUUGUCCGGAAUUAUUGGGCGUAAAGCGCGCGCAGGUGGUUUCUUAAGUCUGAUGUGAAAGCCCACGGCUCAACCGUGGAGGGUCAUUGGAAACUGGGGAACUUGAGUGCAGAAGAGGAUAGUGGAAUUCCAAGUGUAGCGGUGAAAUGCGUAGAGAUUUGGAGGAACACCAGUGGCGAAGGCGACUAUCUGGUCUGUAACUGACACUGAGGCGCGAAAGCGUGGGGAGCAAACAGGAUUAGAUACCCUGGUAGUCCACGCCGUAAACGAUGAGUGCUAAGUGUUAGGGGGUUUCCGCCCCUUAGUGCUGCAGCUAACGCAUUAAGCACUCCGCCUGGGGAGUACGGUCGCAAGACUGAAACUCAAAGGAAUUGACGGGGGCCCGCACAAGCGGUGGAGCAUGUGGUUUAAUUCGAAGCAACGCGAAGAACCUUACCAGGUCUUGACAUCCCAUUGACCACUGUAGAGAUACAGUUUUCCCUUCGGGGACAACGGUGACAGGUGGUGCAUGGUUGUCGUCAGCUCGUGUCGUGAGAUGUUGGGUUAAGUCCCGCAACGAGCGCAACCCUUGAUCUUAGUUGCCAUCAUUUAGUUGGGCACUCUAAGGUGACUGCCGGUGACAAACCGGAGGAAGGUGGGGAUGACGUCAAAUCAUCAUGCCCCUUAUGACCUGGGCUACACACGUGCUACAAUGGACGAUACAAACGGUUGCCAACUCGCGAGAGGGAGCUAAUCCGAUAAAGUCGUUCUCAGUUCGGAUUGUAGGCUGCAACUCGCCUACAUGAAGCCGGAAUCGCU